Molecule: long non-coding RNA, 1335 nt
Filed under: Piliocolobus tephrosceles (Ugandan red Colobus)
Lineage: Eukaryota; Metazoa; Chordata; Mammalia; Primates; Cercopithecidae
Description: lncRNA (ENSPTEG00000002865.1)
Source: RNAcentral
ACGCGUGUGCAUGCAUUCAUUCGUGUAUGAACAUAUUUGUAUGCUGUUGUGUACGUGGAUGAUAAUAGUGUACACGCAUGAUAAAUAAUUAGCAGUUUUUAUUUGUUUUAAGUGCAUAAAUAAAUUCAGCUUUGUGUGUGUCUGCUCGUUUGACUACACAUUCACCUUCAUGUUCACCAACAUGUGCUUGUCCUUACUUUUACGCUUACUUUGAUAAUAACACAUUUCCAACAUAUUCACUGGAGUUACGCAAAAAAUAUGUGGAAAAAAAAAGGAAAAUGUCAAUUUUGUUUUUAUUUUAUCUCGUUGUAUAUUUUAUAAAAGCAAACGAUACAAAUAAAAAUAUAAUUUUGUUUAAUAAUUUAAAUAAAAAUAAAAAUUUGAAAUAUCUAAACUCCGGAAAUACAAAUGAAUGUUAUUUCUGGUAUUAUUUUAGGGAUGACUUUUUUAACAUUUAUUAUUUAAAAAAUGGAAAAUGUAUUAUGAACAAUAAUAGAAAAGAACCUUCAUUGGUUCUGAAUAGUGUUAGUAGUACUGUAACCGAUAACACUACAACUACUACUACUACUACUACUACUACAACUACUACUACAACUACUACUACUACAACUACUACCACUACUACUCCCGCGCCCAUAAAUCAUUAUAACAUACUUAAUAGCACCAAAUGGAUAACUACAGAUAACGUAUGUACAAAUGAAGUAUUAAUUUUAUUGAAUAAAAAAAAAGUCUCUUGCAAAUCCAUGUCAUCUUUCAUAAUACAAGUAAAUAAUAAAACAAAAGAACAAAAUAAAUAUAUUUUUAUCGAAUAUAAUGCGAGUAAUUCUAUAUUUAUGAUGAAUGAUUAUAUUACUACUUAUAUUAAUACAGAUGAAAGAAAAAAUAUCUAUUUACUUUCUGAUCAUAGAAAAGAAAUAGCAGUAACAAAUAGUAGUGUUUUUAGCAUUUAUUUUGAUAAGGCGUAUAUAGAGAAUGCUUACAUUAGAGUUGUUAAAAGUGAUAUUGCUCGAACGGGUGUUAGUAAAAAUAAUGCUGUUUUGUUUAUAAGAACAGGUAGCAAAUCAUGUGUUACUAAAAUUGUUAUAGAGCUGCACAACAAAUGUAGACCCAUUUUUUUUAUUAUCGUUGUAUUGAUUUACGAAUUGAUGAAAUUACUUCCUAAUAAAACUGAUUAUGUAGAAGGAAGUAUGAUUAAGUUAGUAUUGUUAAAGCUUGACCAAACGAGAGAUUAUAACAAAACUCAUGAUAAAAACAUUCCCAACAACAACCCAUGUAUAGUUUACAAACGUAAAUAUAUAUUAAAAAUUUCUUCAGAAAUGAAAAGAAUAAGAGAAC